RNAcentral lists this ribosomal RNA (253 nucleotides) under uncultured bacterium. Its description in RNAcentral is "partial 16S ribosomal RNA". It matches the Rfam family "Bacterial small subunit ribosomal RNA", at positions 524 to 776 of the family's 1533-position model. The record is from RNAcentral.
UACGUAGGGGGCAAGCGUUAUCCGGAUUUACUGGGUGUAAAGGGAGCGUAGACGGCAGUGCAAGUCCGGAGUGAAAGCCCGGGGCUCAACCCUGGGACUGCUCUGGAAACUGUAAAGCUGGAGUGCGGGAGGGGCAGGCGGAAUUCCUGGUGUAGCGGUGAAAUGCGUAGAUGUCAGGAGGAACACCGGCGGCGAAGGCGGCCUGCUGGACCGUAACUGACGUUGAGGCUCGAAAGCGUGGGGAGCAAACAGG